AAAGAAGAACGGCGCGAUCGGCACUCGAAGAGGAUUUCCUUGAAGAAGAAGGUGUACUAUAUGAAGCAGGAAUGGGCGAUUAAUGAUCACCCAGACGUGAGAUUUCAUGUACACCGUUUGGGCAC
Dinoponera quadriceps is the source of this 125-nucleotide long non-coding RNA. RefSeq lists it as uncharacterized. The transcript is spliced from 2 exons. The record is from RefSeq and is a predicted model, not a curated record. NCBI's taxonomy places the organism in Eukaryota, Metazoa, Arthropoda, Insecta, Hymenoptera, Formicidae.